RNA transcript from Doryrhamphus excisus (bluestripe pipefish), 5338 nucleotides. It is a transcript of the gene named ATP-binding cassette, sub-family C (CFTR/MRP), member 9, with no coding region annotated. NCBI's taxonomy places the organism in Eukaryota, Metazoa, Chordata, Actinopteri, Syngnathiformes, Syngnathidae. The record is from RefSeq and is a predicted model, not a curated record.
AGAUUACAGCCUUUCAAAGCAGAUUCAGUGCCAUCAUGCGUGAUGGGUACGUGAACGCAAUCUAUGGCUAUUUCCGGUCCUUGUCCGCACAAUGAGAGGAAACCCAUCACCUUUAAGUCGUCGAAGCCCACCACCGCUGCACGUGCGUGAGAGAUCGGACGGAAGUGGUGUGUGCAGCAAAGCGGGGCAAUUGAAAAUGUAAACAUAUUCCAUCAAAGUGCAUCUCCUAGCUUGGUGUUUGUGCUUGCCGAAUGCAAAGGAAUGAAAGUGUUCCCGUGAGGAUUUACAGUUACCUUAGCGAGACCGAGCCGAGGCCCGCGUGGCGGAGGAGUCGGGCAAGCGCCAUGGCCUUGUCGUUUUGCGGCAACGAUGAAAACGCCAGCAGCUACAGCGUGAACGACGGCAUGCUGAACAAUGGCUGCUUCGUGGACGCGCUCAACCUGGUGCCUCACGUCUUCCUGCUCUUCAUCACCUUCCCCAUCCUCUUCAUUGGAUGGGGCAGUCAGAGCUCCAAGGUCCAAAUCCAUCACAACACCUGGCUCCACUUCCCGGGACACAACCUGCGGUGGAUCCUCACCUUCUCGCUGCUCUUCGUCCAUGUGUGCGAGUUUGCUGAGGGCAUCGUCUCCAACAAGAUGAUGGACACCAACCACCUGCACCUCUUCAUGCCCGCCUUCAUGGGCUUUGUGGCGGCCACCACAUCGGUGGUGUACUACCACAACAUCGAGACCUCCAACUUCCCCAAACUUCUCCUUGUCCUCUUCAUCUACUGGGUGCUGGCUUUCAUCACCAAGUCCAUCAAGCUGUGGAAGUUUGUGGAGUACAAGGUGGGCCUGCAGCAGCUGAGGUUCUGCAUCACAGCCCUGCUGGUGAUCCUGUACGGCCUGCUCAUGGCCGUGGAGGUCAACGUCAUUCGGAUCAGGAAGUACGUCUUCUUCGCCAACCCCCAGAAGGUGAAACCUCCAGAAGACUUGCAAGAUUUGGGGGUCCGUUUUCUGCAGCCCUUCGUCAACCUGCUCUCAAAGGCGACCUACUGGUGGAUGAACCCUCUCAUCAUGGGCGCCCACAAGAGGCCCAUCGAGCUGAAGAAGAUCGGUAAGCUCCCCAUCGCCAUGAGGGCGCUCACCAACUACCUCCGCCUCAAAGACGCCUACGAGGACCAGAAGACGGCCGAGAACCCCGACCGAGCCCCUUCCAUCUGGCGCUCCAUGUACCGAGCGUUCGGGCGGCCCAUCCUGCUCAGCAGCACCUUCCGCUACCUGGCCGACCUGCUGGGCUUCGCCGGGCCGCUCUGCAUCUCGGGCAUCGUCAGGAACUUGACUCUGGAAGGAGGCGGCGCCACUCAGGACAAGAUAAGGGAGACCUACUUUGGCGUCCACUUCAUGCUGUCCACGGAGCUGCUGCAGAACACCUCGGUUCUGGCCGUCCUUCUCUUCCUGGCUUUAGUCCUGCAGAGAACCUUCCUGCAGGCCUCCUACUAUGUCACCAUAGAGACGGGCAUCAAUCUACGGGGCGCCCUGCUGGCCAUGAUUUACAACAAGAUCCUGCGUCUGUCAACAUCCAACAUGUCCAUGGGUGAGAUGACGCUGGGUCAGAUCAACAACCUCGUCGCCAUAGAGACCAACCAGCUCAUGUGGUUCCUCUUCCUGUGCCCAAACCUGUGGGCCAUGCCAGUGCAGAUCGUGAUGGGCGUGAUUCUUCUCUACUACCUGCUUGGCUGGAGCGCCUUGAUCGGAGCUUCUGUCAUCGUUCUGCUGGCUCCCGUCCAGUACCUCAUCGCCACCAAGCUGGCCGACACGCAGAAGAGCACACUGGAGCACUCCACGGAUCGCCUGAAGAAGACCACAGAGAUCCUGAAGGGCAUCAAGCUGCUGAAGCUCUACGCCUGGGAGAACAUCUUCUGUGACAGCGUGGAGGACACGAGAGGCAAAGAGCUGACCAGCCUCAAGACCUUUGCCUUCUACACGUCCAUGUCCAUCUUCAUGAACGCCGCUAUUCCCAUCGCCGCCGUCCUGGUGACCUUUGUCAUGCAUCACUUCAUCACCAAAAGUAGUCCGAGUCCUUCUGAGGCCUUCGCCACUUUGGCCUUGUUCAACAUCCUGGUCACGCCUCUCUUCCUGCUCUCCACCGUCGUCAGGUUCGCCGUCAAGGCGCUCGUCAGCGUGCAGAAGCUGGGCGAGUUCCUCCAGAGCGACGAGAUCGGAGACGACAGCUGGAGGAACGGGGAGAUGUCGGUGCCCUCCGAGGCCGCCAAGAAGCACCCCGGGGCGACCAAAGCCAUCAACAGGAAGCAGCCCUUGCGCUACCAGAUGGACAACUACGAGCAGCCAUCCAGGCGGCAGAUGAGGCCCAGCGAGACGGAGGAUGUGGCCGUCAAGGUGAGCAACGGAUGCUUCACCUGGGGAAGCAACCUGUCAACGCUGUCCGACAUCAACAUCCGCAUCCCGACAGGUCAGCUGACCAUGAUCGUGGGCCAGGUGGGCUGCGGGAAGUCGUCGCUGCUGCUGGCCAUGCUGGGCGAGAUGCAGACCAUCAGUGGGCGUGUCCACUGGAGCAAGCUGCCUGAUUGCGAGACGCUCCUCCACCAGGGGACGUUCAGCAAGAACCGGUACUCCGUAGCCUACGCCACCCAGAAGUCCUGGCUGCUCAACGCCACGGUGGAGGAAAACAUCACCUUCGGAAGCCCCUUCAACAAGCAGAGGUACAAGGCGGUGAUCGACGCCUGCUCUCUGCAACUGGACAUCGACCUUCUUCCCUUUGGAGACCAGACGGAGAUUGGCGAGCGGGGCAUCAACCUGAGCGGCGGACAGCGGCAGAGGAUCUGCGUGGCCCGAGCGCUCUACCAGAACACCAACAUCGUCUUCUUGGACGACCCCUUCUCGGCUCUGGACAUCCACCUGAGCGACCACCUGAUGCAGGAAGGCAUCCUCAAGUUCCUGCAGGACGAUAAGCGGACCGUCGUUCUCGUCACCCACAAGCUACAGUACCUCAUCCACGCCGACUGGAUCAUAGCCAUGAAGGGCGGCUCCGUGCUGAGGGAAGGAACCCUGAAGGACAUCCAGACUCACGACGUGGAGCUCUACGACCACUGGAAGACGCUCAUGAACAGACAGGACCAGGAGCUGGAGAAGGACAUCGAGCAGGACAGCCAAACCACGCUGGAGAGGAAGACUCUCCGCAGGGCCUUCUACUCUCGAGAGGCCAAGAACCAAAUGGAUGAUGAGGAUGAAGAGGAAGAAGAGGAGGAAGAAGAUGAUGACAACCUGUCCAUGACCACAAGCAGAAGGUCCAAGGUGCCGUGGAAGGUGUGCUGGUGCUACAUGUCCUCCGGUGGCUUCCUCAUGGUCUUCCUCAUGGUGUCCUCCAAGCUCCUCAAGCACUCGGUCAUCGUUGCCAUGGACUACUGGCUGGCCAUGUGGACCAAGUCCAAUCAGACCAUUGUGGCGGGACCAAACGGAACGUGCCAGGUCCAAGUGAUCAACAGGAACACCACGUUCCCCGGAUCCCCGGACUACGAGGACUCCCUCUACCUGACCGUCUUCAUCGUCCUGUGCGCGGCUGGGAUCACCUUGUGCCUCAUCACCUCCCUCACCGUGGAGUUUUUGGGUCUUUCUGCCGCCACUAACCUUCAUCACAACCUGCUCAACAAGAUCAUCCACGCUCCUCUCAGGUUUUUUGAUAUCACCCCACUGGGGCAGAUCCUCAACAGGUUCUCAGCUGACACCAAUAUUAUUGACCAGCACAUCCCCCCGACGCUGGAGUCUUUGACCCGAUCCACCCUGCUGUGUUUGUCCGCCAUCGGGGUCAUCUCCCGCAUCACACCCACCUUCAUCAUCGCCCUGGUUCCCCUGGCAGUGGCCUUCUACUUCAUACAGAAGUACUUCCGGGUCGCCUCCAAGGACCUGCAGGACCUGGACGACUCCACCCAGCUCCCUCUGCUGUGCCACUUCUCCGAGACGGCUGAAGGUCUCACCACCAUCAGAGCCUUUAGACACGAGGCUCGUUUCAAACAACGCAUGCUGGAGCUGACCGACACCAACAACACCGCCUACUUGUUCCUCUCUGCUGCCAACCGCUGGCUGGAGGUCCGCACGGACUACCUGGGAGCGGUGAUCGUGCUGGCGGCGGCCGGGGCGUCCAUCUGGGGUUUACAUUGCGGAGAACCGUCUGGAGGUCUGGUGGGGCUCGCUCUCACCUACGCCCUCACCGUCACCAACUACCUGAACUGGGUGGUGAGGAACCUGGCGGACUUGGAGGUGCAGAUGGCGGCGGUGAAAAAGGUCAACAGCUUCCUGAGUACGGAGUCUGAGAACUACGAGGGAUCCAUGGACGCCUCCCAGGUCCCAGAGAACUGGCCCGGAGACGGGGGCAUCAAGAUCCAGGACCUGUGCGUGCGCUACGACCCCAUGCUGAAGCCCGUGCUCAAACACGUCAACGCGUACAUCCAGCCCGGCCAGAAGGUGGGAAUCUGCGGCCGCACCGGCAGCGGCAAGUCCUCGCUGUCCCUGGCCUUCUUCAACAUGGUGGACAUUUUUGAAGGAAAGAUCGUCAUCGACGGGAUCGACAUCUGCAAACUUCCUCUGCAGACGCUCAGGUCUCGGCUGUCCAUCAUCCUGCAGGACCCCGUCUUGUUUAGCGGCUCCAUUAGGUUCAAUCUGGAUCCCGAGCGGACGUGUAACGAUGAACGCCUGUGGGAGGCGCUGGAGAUUGCUCAGCUGAAGAACAUGGUCCAGACGCUGCCCGGAGGACUUGAUGCGGUGGUGACGGAGGGCGGAGAGAACUUCAGCGUGGGUCAGCGCCAGCUCUUCUGCUUGGCUCGAGCUUUUGUACGCAAGAGUAGCAUCCUCAUCAUGGACGAGGCCACCGCCUCCAUCGACAUGGCAACGGAGAACAUCCUCCAAAAAGUUGUGAUGACGGCGUUUGCAGAUCGGACGGUGGUCACCAUCGCUCACCGCGUGUCCUCCAUCCUGGAUGCGGGGCAGGUGCUGGUGUUCUCCUCAGGGAUUUUGGUGGAGAGUGACUCGGGUCCUAACCUGCUAGCACAGGAGGAGAGCCUCUUCAGUGUGCUAGUGAGGACUCACAAGUAGACCCGGAUCGGACCUGGUCUCGGCCCCCCCCCCGCUCCACUCCUCUUCCUGUCUUUCCUUCUUCUCACUUACCGAUCGGGUCGGGGCUGGAGGUCCGCCUCCGGGUCUGCUGCAGACAGCCUGCACCGAGUCCACACCAUCCUCACGGCAGACCUGGUCAUCGUCAUGAAGCGGGGGAACAUUCUGGAGUACGACAAGCCCGAGACUCUCCUGGAGCAGCAGGACGGCAUGUUUGCGUCUUUCGUCAAGGC